UGGGGAAUCUUGCACAAUGGGCGAAAGCCUGAUGCAGCGACGCCGCGUGGGGGAUGAAGGCCCUCGGGUUGUAAACCCCUUUCGGCAGGGAAGAAGCCGCAAGGUGACGGUACCUGCAGAAGAAGCCCCGGCCAACUACGUGCCAGCAGCCGCGGUAAGACGUAGGGGGCGAGCGUUGUCCGGAUUUACUGGGCGUAAAGCGCGCGUAGGCGGCUCGUUAAGUCGGGUGUGAAACCCCGGGGCUCAACCCCGGGACUGCAUCCGAUACUGGCGGGCUCGAGGCAGGUAGGGGAGAGUGGAAUUCCCGGUGUAGCGGUGAAAUGCGCAGAUAUCGGGAGGAACACCGGUGGCGAAGGCGGCUCUCUGGGCCUGUCCUGACGCUCAGGCGCGAAAGCUAGGGGAGCAAACAGG
Molecule: ribosomal RNA, 411 nt
Filed under: Bacillota bacterium
Lineage: Bacteria; Bacillati; Bacillota
Description: Firmicutes bacterium partial 16S ribosomal RNA
Rfam family: Bacterial small subunit ribosomal RNA
Source: RNAcentral